GGUCAGCUCCACCUCCUCCCUCCUUCCCUUACUGAAAUCCUGUUUAUGCAACUGACAACAAGGAGCGUCCAGGCUGACCGGCACCCCCCUUCAUAAAGCAUGGUGUGACUCAUAAUUGGUGCCUGCCGCUAUGUGGUCAGGAAAAUAGCAGCAUCACUGCGCAAUGAGGAUCUGGGGGAGCCGGUGCUGGCAUGCAAGAAUCGGGUGUGCCAAGCUGGCCCCUCAUCAAAUAAUGCAAGAAUGUCAAGAUCUACCAGUCGAUCUGCCAGUUGCUCUGCUAGUUUGGGAUGUUCCCCUGCUGCUGUUUCCUCAGAAGUUGAGACCCAGAAGCCUCUCGGCAAUGGAAUAAAAUAGGAGAUAGCAAAACGGAAAUGAUGGUUUGUUUGACAAGUCCUGUAUGUGCAGGAACUGAACAGACCUGAGGAUACUUUUGCUUUCCCCCUUGUAACUAUUUUAUUAAAUAAAGAAGCACUUGGUUACCCAAAGGCA
Varanus komodoensis (Komodo dragon) is the source of this 489-nucleotide long non-coding RNA. RefSeq lists it as uncharacterized. NCBI's taxonomy places the organism in Eukaryota, Metazoa, Chordata, Lepidosauria, Squamata, Varanidae. The transcript is spliced from 3 exons. The record is from RefSeq and is a predicted model, not a curated record.